UACGGAGGGUGCAAGCGUUAUCCGGACUCACUGGGUUUAAAGGGUGCGUAGGUGGGCAGGUAAGUCAGUGGUGAAAUCUCCGGGCUUAACUCGGAAACUGCCAUUGAUACUAUCUGUCUUGAAUACCGUGGAGGUUAGCGGAAUAUGUCAUGUAGCGGUGAAAUGCUUAGAUAUGACAUAGAACACCAAUUGCGAAGGCAGCUGGCUACACGAAUAUUGACACUGAUGCACGAAAGCGUGGGGAUCAAACAGG
RNAcentral lists this ribosomal RNA (253 nucleotides) under uncultured bacterium. RNAcentral's name for it is "partial 16S ribosomal RNA". It matches the Rfam family "Bacterial small subunit ribosomal RNA", at positions 524 to 776 of the family's 1533-position model. The record is from RNAcentral.